This 441-nucleotide long non-coding RNA is filed under the name Marmota monax (woodchuck). Lineage: Eukaryota; Metazoa; Chordata; Mammalia; Rodentia; Sciuridae. The record is from RNAcentral.
GCCUCAGCCUCCAGAUCCACUGGCAUGACAGGUGUGUACCACCCUGUUUCCCUCCAUUGUCACGCCUCCAAAUAGCUGCCCGAAUGGGUUAUUUCUCCAGAGAAAUGCAACACCCUUGUCAUAAAACCUCAGAAAACAAGUGGCUUACCUCCCUGCGGCUCAGCAGACUGGUGCAGGGUGAGAACGCGGUUUCCAUAGCAACCUGGUCUGUGGCCCAGCCGGGCUCCCUGCCUGUGAGUCAGCCCCCAGCGUGUUGCCUGUUUUCUUGGAUCAGAGUGAGUCAACACUUGGAGGGCUCCUGGGAGAUCCCGUGUCCUCUCGUGGGCACAACCAAGAGAAAGACAAACCCCACGUGGGAUCAGACCCCAGGCUGAGCACAGAGGCUGGCCUCCUCCGGGGAGUCCGACGUGCCCAGAGACCACUGUGUCUGGGAGCCCUUAG